AACAUCUCUUCACGUGAG
Molecule: ribosomal RNA, 18 nt
Filed under: Frankliniella occidentalis (western flower thrips)
Lineage: Eukaryota; Metazoa; Arthropoda; Insecta; Thysanoptera; Thripidae
Description: partial 28S ribosomal RNA
Source: RNAcentral